UGAUAACACGUAUCCAACCUGCCGUCUACUCUUGGACAGCCUUCUGAAAGGAAGAUUAAUACAAGAUGGCAUCAUGAGUUCACAUGUUCACAUGAUUAAAGGUAUUCCGGUAGACGAUGGGGAUGCGUUCCAUUAGAUAGUAGGCGGGGUAACGGCCCACCUAGUCUUCGAUGGAUAGGGGUUCUGAGAGGAAGGUCCCCCACAUUGGAACUGAGACACGGUCCAA
This 226-nucleotide ribosomal RNA is filed under the name uncultured bacterium. RNAcentral describes it as "partial 16S ribosomal RNA". It matches the Rfam family "Bacterial small subunit ribosomal RNA", at positions 107 to 334 of the family's 1533-position model. The record is from RNAcentral.